This is a long non-coding RNA of Homo sapiens (human), 1006 nucleotides long. Ensembl annotates it as tektin 4 pseudogene 2. Its record names the gene TEKT4P2. The record is from Ensembl. Lineage: Eukaryota; Metazoa; Chordata; Mammalia; Primates; Hominidae.
CGGCGGUCGUGUAGCUGAGCAGGCCUGGGGCUUGGUUCUAUGUCCCUGUAGUGUCCUCUGGGUGUUUCCAAGAGCAACAAGAAACGAAUAAAUCUCUGAGAGGUGCCCAGUGAAUGCAGGUUCCAGACAAAAGGUGGAGCCUGGCAUCCUGCCCUGCAUGGGCUCCAGCCUGCUGCCAUCUGGGGAAACUGAGUCAUGGCGAGGCUCAAGGAUGUUUCUCAGACCACACCAGUCCCUGAAGGUCCGCUGACCUCCCAAUCUUGACGGACAGUGAGAAGAGGUUCCCAGGCCACCUGCAAUAGGUUCUGGCUCGGCCUGGGUUGGGCCCCGCAGCGCCUCCACCCCAGAGACCCGGACCAAGUUCACACAGGACAAUCUGUGCCACGCCCAGCGCGAGCGCCUGGACUCGGCCAACCUGUGGGUGCUGGUGGACUGCAUCCUUCGCGACACCUCCGAGGACCUGGGACUCCAGUGUGACGCCGUGAACCUGGCCUUCGGGCGCCGCUGUGAGGAACUGGAGGACGCGCGGCACAAGCUGCAGCACCACCUGCACAAGAUGCUGCGGGAAAUCACAGAUCAGGAACACAACGUGGUGGCACUGAAGGAGGCCAUCAAGGACAAGGAGGAACCUCUGCACAUAGCCCAGACCCGGCUGUAGUUGCUCUCACACCGGCCCAACAUGCAGCUGUGCCGCGAUGCAGCCCAGUUCAGCCCCAGCUCACACCCCCCAACACCCCCAAGCUGGUGAGUGAGGUGGAGGAGCUGUACAAGUCCAUCACAGCGCUGCGGGAGAAGCUUCUACAAGCGGAGCAGUCCCUGCGCAACCUCAAGGACAUCCACAUGAGCCUGGAGAAGGACGUCACUGCCAUGACCAACAGUCUCUUCAUCGACCGCCAGAAGUGCAUGGCCCAUCGUACUUGCUACCCCACCAUUCUGCAGCUGGCUGGCUACCAGUGAGCAGCGGCACGGUGCUUCCCCCCAAUCCCCCAAAUAAACAGUGCGUUAG